AACACGUUAUCCAACCUAUCCGGGAACUCCGGAUAUAGCCUUUCGAAAGAAAGAUUAAUCCCGGAUAGUAUGGUGAUUCCGCAUGGUUUUUCCAUUAAAGGAUUCCGGUUACCGAUGGGGAUGCAUUUCAUUAGGCAGUUGGUGGGGUAACGGCCCACCAAACCUACGAUGGAUAGGGAUUCUGAGAGGAAGGUCCCCCACAUUGGAACUGAGACACGGUCCAAACUCCUACUGGAGGUAGCAAUGAUGAAUAUUGGUCAAUGGGCGGAAGCCUGAACCAGCCAAGGAGCGAGAAGGAUGACUGCCCUAUGGGUUGUAAACUUCUUUUAUAAAGUAAUAAUUGUGGGUACGCGUACCCGUUUGCAUGUACCUUAUGAAUAAAGAUCGGCUAACUCCGUGCCAGCAGCCGCGGUAAUA
This 417-nucleotide ribosomal RNA is filed under the name uncultured bacterium. RNAcentral's name for it is "bacterial SSU rRNA". It matches the Rfam family "Bacterial small subunit ribosomal RNA", at positions 112 to 525 of the family's 1533-position model. The record is from RNAcentral.